RNAcentral lists this ribosomal RNA (844 nucleotides) under uncultured bacterium. RNAcentral's name for it is "bacterial SSU rRNA". It matches the Rfam family "Bacterial small subunit ribosomal RNA", at positions 74 to 916 of the family's 1533-position model. The record is from RNAcentral.
GGGUAGCAAUACCUGGCGGCGACCGGCAAAACGGGUGAGGAACAUGUACGCAACCUUUCCUUUAACUGGAGAAUAGCCCCUCGAAAGAGGGAUUAAUACUCCGUAACAUAAUGAAGUGGCAUCACUUUAUUAUUAUAGCUCCGGCGGUUAAAGAUGGGCGUGCAACUGAUUAGAUAGUUGGCGGGGUAACGGCCCACCAAGUCUGCGAUCAGUAACUGGUGUGAGAGCACGACCAGUCACACGGGCACUGAGACACGGGCCCGACUCCUACGGGAGGCAGCAGUAAGGAAUAUUGGUCAAUGGACGCAAGUCUGAACCAGCCAUGCCGCGUGGAGGAUUAAGGCCCUCUGGGUUGUAAACUCCUUUUAUCUGGGAAGAAAUGCUUUGAUUCUUCAGAGCUUGACGGUACCAGAGGAAUAAGCACCGGCUAACUCCGUGCCAGCAGCCGCGGUAAUACGGAGGGUGCAAGCGCUAUCCGGAUUCACUGGGUUUAAAGGGUGCGUAGGCGGACAGAUAAGUCAGUGGUGAAAUCUCCGAGCUUAACUCGGAAACUGCCGUUGAUACUAUUUGUCUUGAAUAUUGUGGAGGUAAGCGGAAUAUGUCAUGUAGCGGUGAAAUGCUUAGAUAUGACAUAGAACACCAAUUGCGAAGGCAGCUUACUACACAAUGAUUGACGCUGAGGCACGAAAGCGUGGGGAUCAAACAGGAUUAGAUACCCUGGUAGUCCACGCCCUAAACGAUGAUUACUCGACAUACGCGAUACACUGUGUGUGUCUGAGCGAAAGCAUUAAGUAAUCCACCUGGGAAGUACGACCGCAAGGUUGAAACUCAAAGGAAUUGACGG